RNAcentral lists this ribosomal RNA (1731 nucleotides) under Triticum aestivum (bread wheat). RNAcentral's name for it is "partial small subunit ribosomal RNA". Lineage: Eukaryota; Viridiplantae; Streptophyta; Magnoliopsida; Poales; Poaceae. The record is from RNAcentral.
AUUGCACUCUCCGUGACGAAUCUGUGGCCACGCCGCCCGUCCCGCCACCGGGAAACCCAUCUCCACCGCAUCGGCCCGCUUGCUCUUGCUCGGCAUCCUCGGCCGGUCUUGCUCUCGGACAGGGUUUCGCCGCGUACACCUAGCCAUGGCCGCCUCGCUGCCACGCCUCUCCCUCCCGCCGACGGCCGCUCUCCCUGCCGUCGCCUCCUCUCGCUACCGCCCCGACCUCGCCCCCGUCCCCAGCCGCCGCCGCCGCCUCGGCCUCCGUCUCCACCGCUCGCCGCUGGCACCUGCAGCUGCCGCGAGCUCGCCGUCCAUUCCGUCUUCUUCACCGGAACCAGGGUCGGGUAUCGGUGAUGCCCUCGGUGGCGUCGCCAUCUUCUCCGCGGCCACCGGCGAGCCCGUCCUGAUCAGGGAUCUGUGGGACCAGAACGAGGGAAUGGCUGUGGUCGCGUUGCUAAGGCAUUUCGGAUGUCCUUGCUGCUGGGAGUUGGCCUUGACGUUGAAAGACGCGAAAGAAAGAUUUGAUUCUGCUGGCGUCAAACUAAUUGCUGUUGGUGUUGGCACUCCUGAUAAAGCCCGUAUACUUGCUGAGCGUUUGCCCUUUCCAUUGGAUUACCUCUACGCAGAUCCUGAGCGCAAGGCUUAUGAUCUCUUGGGCCUAUAUUUUGGUGUUGGUCGCACAUUCUUCAACCCAGCCAGUGUGAAAGUGUUUUCUCGGUUUGAUUCCCUCAAGGAGGCAACAAAGAACUAUACAAUCGAAGCCACCCCAGAUGACAGGCCAAGUGUCCUGCAACAGGGUGGAAUGUUCGUGUUCAAAGGGAAAGAACUGUUAUAUGCGUGGAAGGACGAGGGCACAGGUGAUCAUGCACCAUUAGAUGAUGUCCUGAGCAUCUGCUGUAAAGUUCCAGUAGCCUGAUGUUGAGUCCUAUGAACGGGGUCCGUUCUUACUGCAUAACCGUACUGCGCAGGUGCUUCUCGUACAGACAUUUCAUAAGCUUGGUGGUAUCAGAUGACUUUCGAAAUACUGGAUCCUGAUAUAAAGGUAGCGUCCCCUGCAUGUGUAUGUAUUAAUAUUUUUGACAAACUUUCUAACACCUUGUUAAUUAUAGGAGCUUAGCAGGGUUGGUUUUUGGUAGAUAUAUGUAACUGAUCAUGAACACUGCACAGUGCUCUAAAAUAUAGCGAUACGUUAUCUUCGGCUUGUGUAUUGGCUUUAUUAAUUUAAAGCCGGGUGCUUCUUGGACCUUUCUUCUAAAAAUUUGUAGCAAUACUGUUUCUCAUGGAAUACUGCAUAUAUCCACAAGUGUCCAAUUUCUUGUCGAAUGCUGCAUACCUGCACAUCAUGCGAUUGGGCUGCACAUCAAGGAGGGCAGAUGCAUAGAAUCUCAAAUGGUUAAAACCCUAGCCUCUGACCAACCCACCCCGCGGAGACCAAGGAAGCUGCUACGCUGGAGGCCUGGAGCAAGGUUGCAGCACACCAAACGUGAUACGGCUUUGCUCUUGGUUUCAGAAAUCUUGCCGGAGCUACUACUCUGUAUCUAAAAGGGCGUGUACAAUAAUAUUAUCUUAACGAGUGUCAUAUAUUUUGAUACACUAGUUAAGACUAAAAGAUAACCCAUCGUACAUCAUAUUUUUAUUGACAUCUCUAACAUAUGUGGGAAAUUUAAAAUAAAAUUGUCUUAUCAACCGCUGUGUAAGCGCUAAAUGGACCGGAAGGAUACGCAUGCC